AUCGACCUGCAAAGGUGAGUUUGAAAGCAGGCGCAGAAACUGAUUUUCAGUUUCGAUCUUCUUCGGCAUCAGGUUAAGGAUAAGCACCUUUAGCGGACGAAUUUCCUGACCACGCUUCAGUUCGGCGAUAUCCAGCGAUACCGGUGCACCUUCAAGUAAUUCAUUCACGCUAUCUUUCAACAGUCGCCACGCGCUACGCAGAACCAGAAGCGACACCAGUAUUGAGAGAAUGGGGUCAGCAGGUGUCCAGCCGGUCCAGAUAAUAAUCAACGCGGCAGGGGGGACGGAGAAGGCUAUGUUGGCCGGGCGACGGUUGUCCCGGUUUAAGCGUGUAGGCUGGUUUUCCAGGCAAAUCCGGAAAAUCAAGGCUGAGGCGUGAUGACGAGGCACUACGGUGCUGAAGCAACAAAUGCCCUGCUUCCAGGAAAAGCCUCUAAGCAUCAGGUAACAUCAAAUCGUACCCCAAACCGACACAGGUGGUCAGGUAGAGAAUACCAAGGCGCUUGAGAGAACUCGGGUGAAGGAACUAGGCAAAAUGGUGCCGUAACUUCGGGAGAAGGCACGCUGAUAUGUAGGUGAAGCGACUUGCUCGUGGAGCUGAAAUCAGUCGAAGAUACCAGCUGGCUGCAACUGUUUAUUAAAAACACAGCACUGUGCAAACACGAAAGUGGACGUAUACGGUGUGACGCCUGCCCGGUGCCGGAAGGUUAAUUGAUGGGGUUAGCGGUAACGCGAAGCUCUUGAUCGAAGCCCCGGUAAACGGCGGCCGUAACUAUAACGGUCCUAAGGUAGCGAAAUUCCUUGUCGGGUAAGUUCCGACCUGCACGAAUGGCGUAAUGAUGGCCAGGCUGUCUCCAUCCGAGACUCAGUGAAAUUGAACUCGCUGUGAAGAUGCAGUGUACCCGCGGCAAGACGGAAAGACCCCGUGAACCUUUACUAUAGCUUGACACUGAACAUUGAGCCUUGAUGUGUAGGAUAGGUGGGAGGCUUUGAAGUGUGGACGCCAGUCUGCAUGGAGCCGACCUUGAAAUACCACCCUUUAAUGUUUGAUGUUCUAACGUUGGCCCCUGAUCGGGGUUGCGGACAGUGUCUGGUCCCUUUAACGGCGCGUUAAUCACGGCGUUGCUGGAAGAAAAAUCAUUGCCAGAGGCGAUUCGUUUUGCCCA
RNAcentral lists this ribosomal RNA (1166 nucleotides) under Escherichia coli. RNAcentral describes it as "bacterial LSU rRNA". It matches the Rfam family "Bacterial large subunit ribosomal RNA", at positions 1273 to 2312 of the family's 2925-position model. Lineage: Bacteria; Pseudomonadati; Pseudomonadota; Gammaproteobacteria; Enterobacterales; Enterobacteriaceae. The record is from RNAcentral.